This 465-nucleotide ribosomal RNA is filed under the name Vreelandella stevensii. RNAcentral's name for it is "partial 16S ribosomal RNA". It matches the Rfam family "Bacterial small subunit ribosomal RNA", at positions 338 to 795 of the family's 1533-position model. Lineage: Bacteria; Pseudomonadati; Pseudomonadota; Gammaproteobacteria; Oceanospirillales; Halomonadaceae. The record is from RNAcentral.
CCUACGGGAGGCAGCAGUGGGGAAUAUUGGACAAUGGGGGCAACCCUGAUCCAGCCAUGCCGCGUGUGUGAAGAAGGCCCUCGGGUUGUAAAGCACUUUCAGUGAGGAAGAACGCCUGGUGGUUAAUACCCAUCAGGAAAGACAUCACUCACAGAAGAAGCACCGGCUAACUCCGUGCCAGCAGCCGCGGUAAUACGGAGGGUGCGAGCGUUAAUCGGAAUUACUGGGCGUAAAGCGCGCGUAGGUGGCUUGAUAAGCCGGUUGUGAAAGCCCCGGGCUCAACCUGGGAACGGCAUCCGGAACUGUGAAGCUAGAGUGCAGGAGAGGAAGGUAGAAUUCCCGGUGUAGCGGUGAAAUGCGUAGAGAUCGGGAGGAAUACCAGUGGCGAAGGCGGCCUUCUGGACUGACACUGACACUGAGGUGCGAAAGCGUGGGUAGCAAACAGGAUUAGAUACCCUUGUAGUC